RNAcentral lists this ribosomal RNA (460 nucleotides) under uncultured bacterium. RNAcentral's name for it is "partial 16S ribosomal RNA". It matches the Rfam family "Bacterial small subunit ribosomal RNA", at positions 338 to 795 of the family's 1533-position model. The record is from RNAcentral.
CCUACGGGAGGCAGCAGUGAGGAAUAUUGGUCAAUGGACGAGAGUCUGAACCAGCCAAGUAGCGUGAAGGAUGACUGCCCUAUGGGUUGUAAACUUCUUUUAUAAAGGAAUAAAACGAGGCACGUGUGCCUUUUUGCAUGUACUUUAUGAAUAAGGAUCGGAUAACUCCGUGCCAGCAGCCGCGGUACUACGGAGGAUCCGAGCGUUAUCCGGAUGUAUUGGGUUUAAAGGGAGCGUAGAUGGGUUGUUAAGUCAGUUGUGAAAGUUUGCGGCUCAACCGUAAAAUUGCAAUUGAUACUGGCAGUCUUGAGUACAGUUGAGGUAGGCGGAAUUCGUGGUGUAGCGGUGAAAUGCUGAGAUAUCACGAAGAACCCCGAUGGCGAAGGCAGCUUACUAAACUGUGACUGACAUUGAUGCGCGAAAGUGUGGGUAUCAAACAGGAUUAGAUACCCCAGUAGUC